This 462-nucleotide ribosomal RNA is filed under the name uncultured bacterium. RNAcentral's name for it is "partial 16S ribosomal RNA". It matches the Rfam family "Bacterial small subunit ribosomal RNA", at positions 28 to 507 of the family's 1533-position model. The record is from RNAcentral.
GACGAACGCUGGCGGCGUGCUUAACACAUGCAAGUCGAGCGGAAAGGCCCUUCGGGGUACUCGAGCGGCGAACGGGUGGGUAACACGUGAGUAACCUGCCCCAGACUUUGGGAUAACCCUCGGAAACGGGGGCUAAUACCGGAUACGACACAGCUUCGCAUGGGGUCUGUGUGGAAAGUUUUUCGGUUUGGGAUGGGCUCGCGGCCUAUCAGCUUGUUGGUGGGGUGAUGGCCUACCAAGGCGACGACGGGUAGCCGGCCUGAGAGGGCGACCGGCCACACUGGGACUGAGACACGGCCCAGACUCCUACGGGAGGCAGCAGUGGGGAAUAUUGCACAAUGGGCGGAAGCCUGAUGCAGCGACGCCGCGUGAGGGAUGACGGCCUUCGGGUUGUAAACCUCUUUCAGCAGGGACGAAGCGUAAGUGACGGUACCUGCAGAAGAAGCGCCGGCCAACUACGUG